This 411-nucleotide ribosomal RNA is filed under the name uncultured bacterium. Its description in RNAcentral is "bacterial SSU rRNA". It matches the Rfam family "Bacterial small subunit ribosomal RNA", at positions 505 to 916 of the family's 1533-position model. The record is from RNAcentral.
UUGCCAGCCGCCGCGGUAAUACAGAGGGUGCAAGCGUUGCUCGGAUUUACUGGGCGUAAAGCGUACGCAGACGGCCACGCAGGUCGGGUGUGAAAUCCCACGGCUCAACCGUGGAACCGCGCUCUGAACUGGCGAGCUGGAGUCUGCUAGAGGUGCAUGGAACAUCAAGUGGAGCGGUGAAAUGUGUUGAUAUUUGAUGGAACACCGGAGGCGAAAGCGAUGCACUGGGGCAGCACUGACGCUGAGGCACGAAAGCUAGGGGAGCAAACAGGAUUAGAUACCCUGGUAGUCCUAGCCGUAAACGAUGAGUACUGAACGGGGGAAGGCUUGCCUUUCCCGGUUGUAGCGAAAGCGUGAAGUACUCCGCCUGGGGAGUAUGGUCGCAAGGCUGAAACUCAAAUGAAUUGACGG